AUUGAACGCUGGCGGCAUGCUUUACACAUGCAAGUCGAACGGCAGCGCGGGCUUCGGCCUGGCGGCGAGUGGCGAACGGGUGAGUAAUACAUCGGAACGUGCCCAGUAGUUUGGGAUAGCUCGGCGAAAUCCGGAUUAAUACCGCAUACGACCUUAGGGUGAAAGCGGGGGAUCUUCGGACCUCGCGCUAUUGGAGCGUCCGAUGGCAGAUUAGCUAGUUGGUGGGGUAAAGGCCUACCAAGGCGACGAUCUGUAGCUGGUCUGAGAGGACGACCAGCCACACUGGGACUGAGACACGGCCCAGACUCCUACGGGAGGCAGCAGUGGGGAAUUUUGGACAAUGGGCGAAAGCCUGAUCCAGCAAUGCCGCGUGUGUGAUGAAGGCCUUCGGGUUGUAAAGCACUUUUGGCGGGAAAGAAAAGGACUGUGCAAAUACCACGGUUCGAUGACGGUACCCGAAGAAUAAGCACCGGCUAACUACGUG
This 484-nucleotide ribosomal RNA is filed under the name uncultured bacterium. RNAcentral's name for it is "partial 16S ribosomal RNA". It matches the Rfam family "Bacterial small subunit ribosomal RNA", at positions 30 to 507 of the family's 1533-position model. The record is from RNAcentral.